Molecule: long non-coding RNA, 1204 nt
Organism: Trichechus manatus latirostris (Florida manatee)
Lineage: Eukaryota; Metazoa; Chordata; Mammalia; Sirenia; Trichechidae
Exons: 3
Source: RefSeq, a predicted model, not a curated record
CACAGAACAGUCUACUGACAUAUUUCCAGUCACCUGUUUAACCAAAUAAACUUAUGAUAUAGGUAUUAUUGGAGAAUCCCUUUCAUCUUGGCUCUCCUAUUGAAGUUGCUAGAACCUGUGUCUCUAAACUUUACAUGUGUAUAGUACCUUGCAUCUUGCCUUUUAGAGCUCCUUUCAUGUCGCUGUAAUUAAUGGCUUAUAUGAUAGUUUUCCUAAGUAGGAUGUGAGUUCCAGGAACAAAGGGAACAAGGAAUUAUAUUUCUUAUGCCUCACAGAUGUUCCGGAACUCAAUAAAUGGGGAAAUGGUUCAUCAAUCAAUCAGUGAAUGAAUAGUGUAUAAGCAUAGUAAAGCACUAUGCUGGUACCGUAUAAUACUCAAACAUACAUUCACAUACCCAGAGAGAGUGAGAAAUAGAGGUGGAGCCAGCUGAGAGAAUCAACAGUUUGUAGUUUGUUAUUGGUCCUAAAAUUUCUGCCGUUAGAUUAAUUUCUUCAGGUUCUGUUUCUAGAAACUCCUGAGAAAACACAAAUUUGAUCAGCUUGAUGAAGAUUGUGAAUAUCAGAGAGCAGGUUGGAGUGGUCAUGCUUUUUGGCCAUGUGGAACCUUCCAGUGGCUUUCUUAUGUUUGUGGAAUUCCUCCACUUUUAACUCAGAAGCCAGAAUCUCACCUUUCCAGUUACUCUCGCAGCCAUGGUGCAGAGACUCCACGUUCAGCUGCAACCACUCAACCCACGUGGAGUCCAUUCUGGAAAUCUAAAUCAAGCGGGGAAUAAGAAAACAUCUUGACUGAAUUCUUCAGAGAGCAUCUGAAUUGGACUCCACUUCUGAUCCUGUCGGCCUCUCUCUAAGGCAUAAAACAAUGCCCUAAAGAUUCUAUUGGCAAAGUCACCUGCCACAGUUGAGACUCCUGGGGGAGGAUGGGAUAGAACCAUUCUUCCAUUUCAGGGAUACUCCUUAUCAUACUUGUGUAACCAGUCAAGGAUGGUCUACGCUACAUGCUUUUGACACUUAAAGUAUUUUGAUCCAGCAGAAACAGGACAACUAGAAGCUGCAGGCCCAGUUCACUGCCCCCUGUUGGAGCUGCAUUCACGCUGCAGACAGAUGUUCCCAUGUCAUCACACUCAGUGACAACUCUACAGUUGCAGCGUGGAGAGUGGAUGAAGGAAAAGAGAUAGGUGAACCAAGGGGAAAAAAACAAAACAAA